CGUAGGGUGCGAGCGUUAAUCGGAAUUACUGGGCGUAAAGCGUGCGCAGGCGGUUUUGUAAGACAGGCGUGAAAUCCCCGGGCUCAACCUGGGAACUGCGCUUGUGACUGCUAAGCUAGAGUACGGCAGAGGGGGGUGGAAUUCCACGUGUAGCAGUGAAAUGCGUAGAGAUGUGGAGGAACACCAAUGGCGAAGGCAGCCCCCUGGGUCGAUACUGACGCUCAUGCACGAAAGCGUGGGUAGCAAACAGGAUUAGAUACCCUGGUAGUCCACGCCCUAAACGAUGUCAACUAGGUGUUGGGAGGGUAAAACCUUUUAGUACCGGAGCUAACGCGUGAAGUUGACCGCUGGGGAGUACGGCCGCAAGGUUA
This 371-nucleotide ribosomal RNA is filed under the name uncultured organism. RNAcentral describes it as "bacterial SSU rRNA". It matches the Rfam family "Bacterial small subunit ribosomal RNA", at positions 526 to 896 of the family's 1533-position model. The record is from RNAcentral.